UACGUAGGGAGCAAGCGUUGUCCGGAAUCAUUGGGCGUAAAGCGCGCGUAGGUGGCUCUGUAAGUCCGUUGUGAAAGUCAAAGGCUCAACCUUUGAAAGCCGAUGGAUACUGCAGAGCUAGAGUACGGAAGAGGCGAGUGGAAUUCCCGGUGUAGCGGUGAAAUGCGCAGAUAUCGGGAGGAACACCAAUGGCGAAGGCAGCUCGCUGGGACGGUACUGACGCUGAGACGCGAAAGCGUGGGGAGCAAACAGG
Molecule: ribosomal RNA, 253 nt
Filed under: uncultured bacterium
Lineage: Bacteria
Description: partial 16S ribosomal RNA
Rfam family: Bacterial small subunit ribosomal RNA
Source: RNAcentral